GUCUGGUGAUGAUGGCGAAGAGGUCACACCCGUUCCCAUACCGAACACGGAAGUUAAGCUCUUCAGCGCCGAUGGUAGUCGGGGGGUUCCCCCUGUGAGAGUAGGACAUCGCCAGGCA
This 118-nucleotide ribosomal RNA is filed under the name Bacillus inaquosorum KCTC 13429. Lineage: Bacteria; Bacillati; Bacillota; Bacilli; Caryophanales; Bacillaceae. The record is from RNAcentral.